UGUAGAGGAUCGACUGAUAGUGAAGCUCAGAAAGCAUUUGGAGCAGCCCGGUAGAUGAAUAGAGGGGCUCAUUAUCGGAGAAGUCCGGAUGGCAUGAUAGGAGUUCGUCCAUUGGAGGAAUCUGGAGGACACUGUGGAAGGUCGACUGCUGGGGGAGUCUGGAUGGUACUGUGAAAGCUCGGACGGUCGGGAAGGUUCAGAAAGACGCCGCAC
This 213-nucleotide long non-coding RNA is filed under the name Elaeis guineensis (African oil palm). Its description in RNAcentral is "long non-coding RNA (EGUI_LNC053342)". Lineage: Eukaryota; Viridiplantae; Streptophyta; Magnoliopsida; Arecales; Arecaceae. The record is from RNAcentral.